Molecule: ribosomal RNA, 253 nt
Filed under: uncultured bacterium
Lineage: Bacteria
Description: partial 16S ribosomal RNA
Rfam family: Bacterial small subunit ribosomal RNA
Source: RNAcentral
UACGUAGGGCGCAAGCGUUAUCCGGAAUUAUUGGGCGUAAAGAGCUCGUAGGCGGUUUGUCGCGUCUGCCGUGAAAGUCCGGGGCUCAACUCCGGAUCUGCGGUGGGUACGGGCAGACUAGAGGUAGAUAGGGGAGAAUGGAAUUCCCGGUGUAGCGGUGAAAUGCGCAGAUAUCGGGAGGAACACCAGUGGCGAAGGCGGCUUCCUGGACCUGUUCUGACGCUGAGGAGCGAAAGCGUGGGGAGCGAUCCGG